CACACUGCCACCACCGCCCCAUGUGUCUUCCUCUCCUCUGAUCUUUACACCAAACAAGCAGAAGCAAACAUCUUCUUCUCCUCUCUUCCUCCCUACAAAAGAUCUCCCCCACGCCAUCUGCAUCACACAGCCACAAGCACACACAGGCAGCAGCUCAAACAUAGCACAUACACAUGCAUGCAAGCACACCAACAGCCCAGUCGCGUUCUCUUGUCGUCAUGAGCAUAGCCAAGUCACGCUCCUCCACACCUCCGUCCCCCGGCCUUCUCCCCUUUGCCAUGCUAUCCAGCCGCCACGCGACCAACCAGGCCGCAACAGAGCUUGACCACGCGUUGUCCCUGCCGCUGCUGCCAUGCUCUGCCUCUCACGCGUGUCACCGUACCGCUGCGCCGCUGAGUCACCGUGCUCAACCUCCUCCUGCCGCUGAGGAAUCCACCACCGUUUUUAUUGAAUUCUUCUUAUCAUCCACUCAGACUUGAGCAAUAUUAUUGUCUUGGACUCACAAAAGAGAGCUCAGUCAACUUACCAAGAUCUCAUCAACAUGCUAAACAGUGUAUGAGACAGGCACCCAACAACAAUCUUUGCAGAUUUUAUCUACUUAGUUUCAUGUACACAUUCAGCGGAGACGGAGAUGUCGUCAUGUUUAAUGAUGUUGAGCGCUUUAAAUACCACACAAAUGAGAUACUCCACAGUGAAAUACAUAUCAUUCGAGAACAGAUCACCGGGUUCUUCAUCGAGUAUGUUAUCAACCCAAACAGUGAGUUUCAUGAACCGAUUGAGCCGCCACAAUGUGAGGGACCUUCAGACGACACCCAAGCCACUUUACCUUCUAGUAGAGAGUAUGUUAUAAGGAGUAAGUCUAACAGAAACUUCAACCGCUAGAAUGUUAUUGAUUAUUCCCUAAUUCAUUGUAACUAUGUUGAAUGAUAAAUAAUUUAUGUAUAUAUAUUUUUUAUUAAAUAUGUGUCUCAUUGUAUACAUGUAUUGAGGGAGAGUGGAGAGGAGAGAGGAGAGAGGAGAGGGAGAGAGAAGAGAGGAGAGGAGAGGAGAGAGGAGAGAGGAGAGAGAGGGAGGAGAGAGAGAGAGGAGGCAAAACACUAUCGAUAGUGAUUUACUAAGGAUCACUGCCAGCGGGUGGUUCCAAGAGUAUCACUAUUGGCUGAAGUCUUGACGCGAUGAUGAUAACCCCUUUAUUGUCUUUUCAAAGAGCCGACUGUAAAACCGGCAAUGAAAGGAUUUACUAGCCGACAAUGAUGAGAAUUUAUGUGCUGUUGUGUGGCUUAUUUUGGCACUCGAAUAUACGAUGGCCUUGAUGUCAUCCAUUGCCCUAGUAGAAUCUCCAAGUAUAUGUCAUCCACUACCCGAGGCUCUCUCCUGAAAAUGUGGACAGAAUCGUACAAAGGAUUGAGCAAGGAAGAUCUUCUUCGUUGCGCUCAAAGUGUGGCGGGGGUAAUGUCUAUUCUCCGGUCUGACAACCCAGCUGCUGGAGGACAAGGCGCUCGGAGGUUGAGACUUAGUGGAAGACCCGACUGAUGUGGAGGUCACUGCCGAAGAUGGAAGCAUCAACUGACCCUGGAGUUUCUGCUGGAAAAAGGAUGUCUUCAUGAAGAACAGUUGCUGCGAGGUCUUUUGUUGAGACGCUUUUGCUGAUGGCAAAUACUCAUCCACCUCCGCGUACGAGACCAAAUUCAUGGGAUCCUUUCCAGAUCAAAACUGGCACAGCAUAUGGAACUGGAAGGCGUCGGUCGAGCCGAAGUGCAAGAUGAUUUGGCUUCUGCUACAACAAAAACUGCUCACAACCGGCCAAUUCAUAAUCGGCUAUGGACAGCAGACAGACUGCAGAGGCGUGGAUGGUCCAAUCAGCAUAUUUGUCCUCUCUACCAUGCUGAACCAGAGACGACAUUCCAUCUUUUAGUAUGUGGGAAAGCUUUAAAGAGGGGUUCACUAUUCCUUACCUACUUCGACCAAUUCGAGCGUCUCCCUGCCGAUGUCAGAAUGGUGGCAGCCGG
Long non-coding RNA from Phragmites australis (common reed), 2009 nucleotides. RefSeq lists it as uncharacterized. Lineage: Eukaryota; Viridiplantae; Streptophyta; Magnoliopsida; Poales; Poaceae. The transcript is spliced from 5 exons. The record is from RefSeq and is a predicted model, not a curated record.